RNAcentral lists this unclassified non-coding RNA (568 nucleotides) under Hevea brasiliensis (rubber tree). Lineage: Eukaryota; Viridiplantae; Streptophyta; Magnoliopsida; Malpighiales; Euphorbiaceae. The record is from RNAcentral.
GUGGCAGCAGGACCAGUGAUGGUGAUAGCGGCAACAUUUAGUAACGCAAUUUUUGAGAGAUUACCGCCGGAGGAAGAAGAGCAGGAAGGCUCGCAAUUGCAGGAGCAAGUGAAUUCAGGGACUAAUAAUAAUAGCAAUACUGCUGUAGGUGGGGGUGGCGGCAGUGGUAAUAAUAAUAAUUCAGGUUCUCAAUCUUCUCAGCACAUGGGCGAGCAUGGUUCGAUGCCUGUCUACAAUUUGCCUCCUAAUUUGCUACCCAAUGGGCAAAUGCCACAGGAGGUGUUUUGGUGUCCUCCUCGUCAUCCACCUCCCUCUUACUGAUGUGUGUGUGAGAAAGGGGGAGGGGCUAGAGUUGUUAGCUUUGGAUUAGCCAACCGAUAUGUGCAAAAAUGUACUGGAAAUUUUCAUGUAAGCAUCAUAUAACAAGGAAGAGGUAGGACUUUUUGGUUUAGUUUCUUGUGAAAAUUAGCUGCCUUUGAUGCUUAGGUUUUGCUAUAUAUGUGUUAGAACUUGCGGAUGUACCUGUUAUUUUCUCUAAUCAACCCUUUUUUUUCCAAGGAAAAAAGAG